UGGGGAAUAUUGCACAAUGGGCGAAAGCCUGAUGCAGCAACGCCGCGUGAGUGAUGAAGGCCUUCGGGUUGUAAAGCUCUGUCUUUUGGGACGAUAAUGACGGUACCAAAGGAGGAAGCCACGGCUAACUACGUGCCAGCAGCCGCGGUAAUACGUAGGUGGCAAGCGUUGUCCGGAUUUACUGGGCGUAAAGGAUGCGUAGGCGGAUUUUUAAGUGAGAUGUGAAAUACCCGGGCUUAACUUGGGUGCUGCAUUUCAAACUGGGAAUCUAGAGUGCGGGAGAGGAGAAUGGAAUUCCUAGUGUAGCGGUGAAAUGCGUAGAGAUUAGGAAGAACACCAGUGGCGAAGGCGAUUCUCUGGACCGUAACUGACGCUGAGGCAUGAAAGCGUGGGUAGCAAACAGGAUUAGAUACCCUGGUAGUCCACGCCGUAAACGAUGAGUACUAGGUGUAGGAGGUAUCGACCCCUUCUGUGCCGCAGUUAACACAAUUCAAGUACUCCGCCUGGGAAGUACGAUCGCAAGAUU
This 526-nucleotide ribosomal RNA is filed under the name uncultured bacterium. Its description in RNAcentral is "partial 16S ribosomal RNA". It matches the Rfam family "Bacterial small subunit ribosomal RNA", at positions 355 to 895 of the family's 1533-position model. The record is from RNAcentral.